UGGGGAAUUUUGGACAAUGGGCGAAAGCCUGAUCCAGCAAUGCCGCGUGUGUGAAGAAGGCCUUCGGGUUGUAAAGCACUUUUGUCCGGAAAGAAAUCCUUGGCUCUAAUACAGUCGGGGGAUGACGGUACCGGAAGAAUGAGCACCGGCUAACUACGUGCCAGCAGCCGCGGUAAUACGUAGGGUGCAAGCGUUAAUCGGAAUUACUGGGCGUAAAGCGUGCGCAGGCGGUUUGCUAAGACCGAUGUGAAAUCCCCGGGCUCAACCUGGGAACUGCAUUGGUGACUGGCAGGCUAGAGUAUGGCAGAGGGGGGUAGAAUUCCACGUGUAGCAGUGAAAUGCGUAGAGAUGUGGAGGAAUACCGAUGGCGAAGGCAGCCCCCUGGGCCAAUACUGACGCUCAUGCACGAAAGCGUGGGGAGCAAACAGGAUUAGAUACCCUGGUAGUCCACGCCCUAAACGAUGUCAACUAGUUGUUGGGGAUUCAUUUCCUUAGUAACGUAGCUAACGCGUGAAGUUGACCGCCUGGGGAGUACGGUCGCAAGAUUAAAACUCAAAUGAAUUGACGGGGUCAUAGCUGUUUCCU
RNAcentral lists this ribosomal RNA (585 nucleotides) under uncultured bacterium. Its description in RNAcentral is "partial 16S ribosomal RNA". It matches the Rfam family "Bacterial small subunit ribosomal RNA", at positions 355 to 1375 of the family's 1533-position model. The record is from RNAcentral.